This is a non-coding RNA of Chlorocebus sabaeus (green monkey), 953 nucleotides long. The record is from RefSeq and is a predicted model, not a curated record. Lineage: Eukaryota; Metazoa; Chordata; Mammalia; Primates; Cercopithecidae.
UGCUGCUGGACUGUCUUUAAGCCUUGUCAUGAACACCUGAAUUACAUAACAUUAGAGUGACUAUAUGUAUGAAUUGAAUCCUAUAUUCUGCGUAAAACUUGUUGAGUUCUGAAGAAUGCUGGAGUCUGGUUCAUGACUUUCUAACUUUUUAAUGAAUAAGGGACCAAUGACCUGUAUUUCAUAAAUAUUUGCUAGAUAGGAAACAUGUUUUCCAUUACUUCUUUAGAUUAUUCAAAACACAUAAUAGGUCUUUUAACUAUUUGAUUGGUGAAAAACCUGUGGUUUAUCUAGAGAAAUAAUUCAUUUAAUCACGGUCCUGUUUAAAAAGUAGUAAAUCAUGGUUAUUUGCCUUGUGACAAAUCUGUAAUUUACCUGAAAUUCAUGGUAAAUUUGUUUUAUUUAUGAAGGUUCAAGUGAAAAUUUUAUAAUCAGUUGUGUACAGGUGAUUAACACAUUACUGAAAAAUAUCUGGGCUAUAUUAUGCCACAUCUCAUGCGAUAUUUCUUCAUAGGAAAGUUUAAUGGAUUAAGAGUGGGUAUGUCUCUGUGAGUGAAUCUGAAAGGCAGAUACCAGCUUAGUGUUGAGAAUGAACUGGCUGGAACCUAAAACACUGAGUGUUCUGCAUACCCAGCUCCUACCUAUAUCAUCUCAGCCUUCCUCCUCUGGACAUUAAAAGGGAUUCUCUGUCUAAACUAAAAUGUCUGUGAUGUUUUAGAACAAAGUGACUUUUGAAGAUGUAGCUAUUGACUUCACCCAGGAAGAGUGGGCCAUGAUGGACACAUCCAAGAGAAAGUUGUACAGAGAGGUAAUGCUGGCAAACAUCAGUCACCUGGUGUCCCUCGGGUACAGAUAAGCAAAUCCUAUAUAACUUUGCAGCUGGAGCAAGGAAAAGAGCUCUGGCGGGAAGGAAGAGAAUCUCUGCAAGGCCAGAAUCUGGACAAGGAAAGUGCCCU